Non-coding RNA from Megalopta genalis, 610 nucleotides. The record is from RefSeq and is a predicted model, not a curated record. Lineage: Eukaryota; Metazoa; Arthropoda; Insecta; Hymenoptera; Halictidae.
UCCGGUUAAGGGUUGAUAGAUCAUGUUUAAAUACAAGCCUGAUCUUUAGGAAUUUUUUCUGAUAAAAUUAACAGACUUCUUUCUAAAACGAAUAUGUCAUCUAAAGCUACAUGCAUAGUUGAAUCUGUAGUAAUUUUUCAGCAAUGGUAAUCUUAAAAGGUGCACGAUCGAUAAACUCUUUCUCGGAAGUUGCUUCCAAUAUUUGAUAAAAUCGGAACGUCGCGAAAGGAGGGGACUUACCUUCCCGUACGAUGUUAGCCAGGAUGUAAUCUUUGGGACAUUCUUUGACGAUAUGCAGCUUUCGUCUUUGAUGUUUAUCGUACUUAAACGGCAGCAACGUCAAUUGUAUUGGAGAGGUAGCGUCUGUCAGAGCAUCGUCUAUGAUGUCCCUCGAACUCGUCAGAAUUUCCAGUCCUGGAAAGAAAAAGGGCCAGUCUUAGAAACAUAUCGACUGCACUUCGAAAUUCUCAGAGAUUUAGAAUUCUGUCUUGUAAAACGAAACGACGUCAGUCGUAUCUUAGAAUAUUUAUCUCGUGUACCAGUAGACGAGCUAUGCUUGGGGUCAUUUAAAAGGGUGUUCCACAAUUACUUUAACAACCAAAAAUGGGGG